Long non-coding RNA from Bos taurus (domestic cattle), 979 nucleotides. The record is from Ensembl. NCBI's taxonomy places the organism in Eukaryota, Metazoa, Chordata, Mammalia, Artiodactyla, Bovidae.
CUCUGCCCCUCUCCCCAUCCCACCCAGUCUUCAACUCCUUUAAAACCAGAAGCUACAGUGCGCGGCUCUGAAGGUUUCUCCUGCCUGUGAACUUCCACGGUUCCAAGAGCUGGACUGCAAACUUCUAGGUUGCAGAACUCAUCAUUCUGACAGCCUGCCUGCCUGAAAUGGCUCGAAGAAGAAAACUCUGUGCUGACAUCCUAGAAUGAGAGAUCCUCCUUGCCUGCUUGAUGAAGGCAGCAGCCAUGUUUUGGAAGACACAUAGCGAGGAACAGAAGGUGGGCAGCUCUAGGACAGCCUCCAGCUCCCAGCCAGCAAAAAGCAAGGUCCUUGGUCAUACAGCCUCAAGGAAUGAAUUCAGCCACAACCUGAGUGAGCUUAGAAUUGGAUCCAUCCCAGCUGAGCCUCCCAAUGAGAAUGCAAUCCAGCCAAGACCUUGACUGUGAACCUGUGGGAUCUGACACAGAAGACCCAGCUAAGCUAUUCCUGGUCUCCUGAUCCAUGAAAACUGUGAGAUAAUAAAUCCCACACAAGGCCCCCAGGUCUCCAGUUGAUGACCGCUGUGGAAGAACUCAAGGAGACAGUCUUUGGAGAAAGCCAGGAAUGAGGAUCAUCUCUUCCUAUGCAAGGGCAGGGCCUUGCACAGGCCUAAGACCACACAGAGGUCCUCCCUAGUGCUGGCCCCUCCAGGCUUUGUCCACAGAGGCUUGGAAGGCCCCGCUGCCCCUGCCAUCCCACCCAAGAUGUCCUCCCUACUUCCUCCUGAGUCCUGGCAGGUGAUGAGAUUCCAGUGGCAGCCCAGUCAUGCCAGGGACACAGCAACUGCCCGGGGCACUCAAGCUCUGAGCAUCCCUGGUCUUUCUGCCUUGCAACUCAUUCCUGGAAAAGCGAUGAGCUCUGCGAUCUGCAUGUAUGACGCUCCUGCUGCACACACCCUCUGAGUCUCCACAGUUUGGUCACCUCCCAGUCACUCUUUUAU